Cordylochernes scorpioides is the source of this 73-nucleotide non-coding RNA. Lineage: Eukaryota; Metazoa; Arthropoda; Arachnida; Pseudoscorpiones; Chernetidae. The record is from the annotation of a GenBank genome assembly.
GUCCAAGGAUGGGAAACGAACCCACAGUGUUCCGCUUACCGGGCAGAUGCCAUGUCCACUAGGCUACCCUGGA